GAUGAAGAACGUAGCGAAAUGCGAUAAGUAAUGCGAAUUGCAGAAUUUCCGUGAAUCAUCGAAUCUUUGAACGCACAUUGCGCCCUCUGGCAUUCCGGAGGGCAUGCCUGUUCGAGCGUCACGGAAGCCUAAUCACACUCGCUUGUGUGGUCAUGGCGGCAGUGAGUCCCCCAGCCCAGCUGGCGGUCACGCCGCUGAAACGAAUGGUGCGGAUGAGUUCCCGAUGGCCGAGCGUAGUACUUUGAAAACCGUCGGACAAUCGGAACCUUCCAUCUCGCCCUGACGAUGGACCCCCAUCGUACCCCUCAAAGGUGGACCUCGGAUCAGGUAGGGAUACCCGCUGAACUUAAGCAUAUCAAUAAGCGGAGGA
RNAcentral lists this unclassified non-coding RNA (370 nucleotides) under soil metagenome. RNAcentral's name for it is "partial contains 5.8S ribosomal RNA, internal transcribed spacer 2, and large subunit ribosomal RNA". The stretch from base 1 to 121 matches the Rfam family "5.8S ribosomal RNA", at positions 35 to 154 of the family's 154-position model. The record is from RNAcentral.